RNAcentral lists this ribosomal RNA (202 nucleotides) under uncultured bacterium. RNAcentral describes it as "partial 16S ribosomal RNA". It matches the Rfam family "Bacterial small subunit ribosomal RNA", at positions 524 to 725 of the family's 1533-position model. The record is from RNAcentral.
UACAGAGGUCUCAAGCGUUGUUCGGAUUCAUUGGGCGUAAAGGGUGCGUAGGUGGCGCCGUAAGUCAGGUGUGAAAUUUCGGAGCUUAACUCCGAAACUGCAUUUGAUACUGCGGUGCUUGAGGACUGGAGAGGAGACUGGAAUUCACGGUGUAGCAGUGAAAUGCGUAGAUAUCGUGAGGAAGACCAGUGGCGAAGGCGGG